This is a long non-coding RNA of Labeo rohita (rohu), 1765 nucleotides long. RefSeq lists it as uncharacterized. The transcript is spliced from 3 exons. NCBI's taxonomy places the organism in Eukaryota, Metazoa, Chordata, Actinopteri, Cypriniformes, Cyprinidae. The record is from RefSeq and is a predicted model, not a curated record.
AUUAAAAGUCCACGGACUGCCCCAUCACUGAGCACUGACACUUGAUUCAGCAGGAAAUUUGUCUGGAAGAAGACCACACAGGCAUAAAAAUGAAUAAAAUUUGGAUACUGUGCUUUGCGGUGCUGUUCAUCACCAUACCAUUUUCAACUCAGGAUACCCCCGUUCAAAAGUCAAGUGGAGGCACAGCAACUAGUACUUCCACAAAUUCCAGCGCUGUAGGAUUGGGUCCUGUUCCCACUACACUCUACCUGCUGAUCCCAGCAGCCACCCUGGGCUUCAUCCACAGUAGAUGCUGAACUGAUGGAUGGAGAUCGUUCACCGUAGAUGACCAAGACUGAGACAGUGGCGAAAUGGACAGCCAUUCACCCAAAGAGCAAACUUUUCCACAAAUCUUGAAGAUGCCACAGCUCACAUUUUUGUAAUGGAUUUUAAGUAAUGAUAAUGAAUACAUUUGGAGAAUUUCUCCAAGAGAGAACUGUUUGGUUACACCUGUUUUAGGGAGCCCAAAAGACACCAGCAUCUCCUGCUACAGAACCACACCAUCGGGCUCUUUGUCGUGUUUUGCUUCAAAGUCACUGUUUUAGACAGACCUCACCUACUCAAUGGCAAAUUCUCUUGGAAGAGUUUGUUUCUUCUAUGCUCACUAUAUAACUGAGAUGGUUAUAGAACUCCAUUACUUAAAUCAGUAAUCAUUGUGCAUUUAAAAUUUCAGCCAAUUUCCAUUUCUAUAAUGAUAUUAUGUACACUACAAAUUUGAAAUUUUACUAUAUGAAUGUGAUCAAUGUACUCCAUCUCAGAAUAUGUCUGUAUGCAAAAUUAAAUGUGAUGAUUAUAUAUGUUUGUAUGUCAUUUUUUCAUUUAAACCAGUGUUAAAAUUGUGUUCUUCUACGAUGUAUACAGCAAUCAGAGUUUUAUAAUAGUUUAUCCCCAAGCAAUUAGAUAAGUACAAAUAAACUUAGCAUAAUCAGGAUUUCCCAUGCUUCUUAACAACAGACCGAGCAAAGCAACACAAGUUUAUUAAGAUAAUAGGAUGUAGAGUAGAAAACACAGGUAUCCUGGAUUAAAGUUUCUGAGAGAUUUUAGUGUAUUUGACAUUUUAAAAACCGUUUUUAUUUCGAAAUCUUCUCAGACAGAGAUAAAGAGGAUGUACUGAUAGAGGAUGUGAUUCUCCUCCUCAACCAAUUGGCGGGCAUUUAUACACGUCACACAUCAGUCACUGUGAGAAUAAAACUCGCCGCCCUUCCCGCAACACCUAGCACAGACUUUCUCUUCCACACAAAACAUCUCUAGAAGAAGAAGAAGAAGGCAUAAUCAUGAAUAAAAUCCUGAUGUUGUGCCUUGGGUUACUGCUUAUAACCUUACCUUUUUCAUCUCAGCAGGAUACACAGCUAAAUCAAGCAGUCAACGUAAAUUCCACCUCUGGAAGUACUAAAAAUUCAGGAUUUGGUCCACUGCCCACCGCGCUGUGCCUGCUGAUCCCAGCAGUCACCCUGGGCUUCAUCCACAGUAGAACCUAAACUGUCUGGAGAAUGUUUAGAUGAAGAAGAGGAGCAAAGAUGGACAGCCAGUCACAUGAAGCCCAACGAAAAAGAAGCUCAUCUGUUGUGUUUUAACCUUGCUUUAAAUUGGACUCAUCAGUCGCAACAUUGUGCAUGAAUCUGAUCACUGUAAUCCACAAAUUUCUCCAAAAUAUUUUUGUACUAACUGCGAUAAAUUGUAAUGAUUAAAAAUGUGUCUACAUGCGCAAUUAAAGUGGAUUCUUGUA